CUGUGUGAAUUUGCUCUGCAUUGUCAGAAUCAUUUGUACAGGAAGGGGGCUGUGCAUGUACCUCUGUUUUGUGUAACGGGGGGUCCCUACAAACCAACACUUCAUUCACUCUACACUUAUUGAAACAGAUUCCAAUAAUUGGUGCCCUCAGGAGAGCAAGGUAUUGUGGGAGUGAGAAUUUCUGUAGAUAGGUUCUAGAAUCUAGAGACUUGGCUUUUGAGGAACAGAUAGAAAAGUUAGAGUAGAAUGCAAAAGAUCAGAUACAAACUGCACAAUGUAUAGGGAAAAUUUACUUUUGAUAAGUUGUGCAAUAUCUUAAUUUCUGCUACUUUGUGAAGUUGAAAUGGCCAUAGCCUUUUAGUAUAAAACAUACUGGGAUGUAGUAAUUUUCUUUUCACUCCAGUGUGAGUAUGCUACAGAC
Non-coding RNA from Pelobates cultripes (western spadefoot toad), 421 nucleotides. The record is from the annotation of a GenBank genome assembly. NCBI's taxonomy places the organism in Eukaryota, Metazoa, Chordata, Amphibia, Anura, Pelobatidae.